GCUGAAUCAAGUCUUGAGACGAGCUGCUCUUUAUGCUGAAUCAAGUCUUGAGACGAGCUGCUCUUUAUGCUGAAUCAAGUCUUGAGACGAGCUGCUCUUUAUGCUGAAUCAAGUCUUGAGACGAGCUGCUCUUUGUCUGGUCCCGUCUUAAUGGUGAACUGGUAGGGUGAAAGGAACACAAGCACAUCCAUCCUUGUGCCCUGGCAGGCUCACCGCUCUUCUGAUAGACAGUCAGUCUUACUCUCUCAGUUAGAACCUGUUGGAGCUUUGGCGUAUGUCCCAACUGGCACCCUAUUCCCUAUAUAGUGCACUACUUUUGACCGGAGCCAUAGGAAGUGCAUUAUUUAGGGAAUAGGCAGCCAGUUUGGAACACACAGCCUUUAAUACAAACUUCAUUGGUGAAGCAAUGGGUCUGUCAACCAACGGGAAGCUUGUAGUGACAGUCUUUAUAACAACUGAUGAAGGCUUUUUCAGUCCACCAUUUUGUUCCCCCUCAGCCCUCCUGACCUCAUCUCGUGAUGAAGGCUUUUUCAGUCCACCAUUUUGUUCCCCCUCAGCCCUCCUGACCUCAUCUCGUGAUGAAGGUUGUUUCAGUCCACCAUUUUGUUCCCCCUCAGCCCUCCUGACCUCAUCUCAUGAUGAAGGUUGUUUCAGUCCACCAUUUUGUUCCCCCUCAGCCCUCCUGACCUCAUCUCAUGGUGAAGGUUGUUUCAGUCCACCAUUUUGUUCUCCCUCAGCCCUCCUGACCUCAUCUCAUGAUGAAGGUUGUUUCAGUCCACCAUUUUGUUCUCCCUCAGGCUUCCUGACCUUCCUCAUGAUGAAGGUUGUUUCAGUCCACCAUUUUGUUCUCCCUCAGGCUUCCUGACCUUCCUCAUGAUGAAGGUUGUUUCAGUCCACCAUUUUGUUCCCCCUCAGCCCUCCUGACCUCAUCAUCUCAUCAUCUCUCUGCUUAUUUUGAUGGCUUCACAACAGAGCCAUUGUGCCACUGACUAUUGAUGAUCAUCAAACAACAGUUUGUUUUAAUGAGAUACGAGUCCCCUAUUCAAUACAAUCAUCAAUCUUGCAAAUAUCCGCCUUUGGAUUUUAAUGCCGUAUCUUUUUUAAACUGUAUCCAUUUGAUUUAUGAUUGUAGAAAUCGUUUGUUUUAAAAUAAAGAGUUUGUGAACAACAUGUCCGUAUGUAAAACAUUUACGUUUACGUCAUUUAGCAGACGCUCUUAUCCAGAGCGACUUACAAAUUGGUGCAUUGACCUUAUGAUAUCCAGUGGAACAACCACUUUACAAUGGUACAUCUAUUGUACACACUUAGGGCUCUGGUCUAAAGUAGUGCACUAUAUAGGGAAUAGGGUGCCAUAGGGCCCUGGUCUAAAGUAGUGCAGUAUAUAUAGGGAAUAGGAUUCCAUAGGGCUCUUGUCUAAUGUAGUGCACUAUAUAUAUAUAUAUAUAUAUAUAGGGAAUAGGGUGCCAUAGGGCUCUGG
Molecule: long non-coding RNA, 1477 nt
Filed under: Salmo salar (Atlantic salmon)
Lineage: Eukaryota; Metazoa; Chordata; Actinopteri; Salmoniformes; Salmonidae
Description: lncRNA (ENSSSAG00000098210.1)
Source: RNAcentral